CGUAAAAAGUUUAAAUAUGAAACUGUUUUGUACUUUAUCAAUUAUAAACAUAGGUAAGUUUAACAGUUAAACUUAUUCGGUAUAACAAUUUAAACUAGGCGUGAAUAACCGGCGACAAUUUUUAUCAGUGUAUUCGCCUUCGAGUUGAUCAGCCGCGCGCGGAUGUAAACAUGCAGAUUCGUUUUCAAACGUUUUCCCGAAACGCUCCUAAAUCAGUUCAGUUCCGACGAUCUGGCCAUCCCAGGACAUUGUUUAUUUAAUUUAAUUUAAAACUAGACCAGCAACAGCAUAAGGGCACCGUACUGGCUGUCGAUUCAUCCUUGUCCCGACCGGCAGGAGAGGAAACGUCCUCGAUCAAAGCAGAAUCUACCUCGUCCAGCAGUGCCACUUCAACAGCGGCAUCCAGACAUCAAGUUGGAACCGGUAAUUAGGAUUAAAUAACUGUCCGCGGCAUGCUACAAACUCGUCAUCAUAACGACAACCAACAAGCUACUGCAAUCUGCCAAGAAAUCCGAUCUCAAAAACGUGGUCAUAAGUUCGGCACUGUCUAGAGACCUUCGUCAUCGGGAUCUCCGCGAACAGCUACAAUCAUCGACGCUUGUUCCUCGAGGAAUUCAGCCUGAAGCACCAGAUUAUUGUUGUACGGCAACAGAGUGCGGCUCUAAAGCCAGAUCAGGAUGCAUUCUCGACCAAGACGGAGAAGGUGGCCACAGCAUCGAAGUGUCAACAGAGGUGGCGGACGAAAACUGGAAGCAGUCGAUACAUUUCGCACUGAUCGCAUACCACCAUUGCCAAAUACGCCUAGUACCUGACAUCCAGAUUUCUCGACAAAAUUGAGUCGCUACCAACCCUGGACCAUCCAGUUUUUCUACGGGAUGAACGGGACAAGCAGGCUGGCUUCGAUUCGGAAUCGUCAACGGCGCUGGAUCCGGAAAUGGCAAGCGAGAGAAGUGCAAAACCAUCAUGAAAUCCUUCACAAAAUGCUACGCUUGGGAACGAACGAUAACUUCCGAUGAACGCAAGUGAAAAACCCAACGGUGACCCAACUACAGGAACUACGGAAGCUUCCGUUGUAUCCGCGGCCAAUAUGCUCUUGUAUGUGGGUCAUAUGAUCCUGGGUAUCAACACGGUGCAGUUGUACAUGAAGGCACCGAGAUGCAGGACUUCCGGCCAGCAGGAAAACAACAAUUUGUGCUCAGUCAACAUCAACAUCUGGUCAAGCGAAUGGGAGUGGUGUGCACGCCAAAUUCCUACUGGGUUGCAUUCCGGGCAUUCCAGCGCUGAGAAAAGAUUAACAUCAACCUUAUUGGCACGGUACGUGGUGACCAGCGCAGGAGGACUGUUAUGCGGAGAACAUUUGUUUUAACGGUUUACCC
Molecule: long non-coding RNA, 1376 nt
Organism: Aedes aegypti (yellow fever mosquito)
Lineage: Eukaryota; Metazoa; Arthropoda; Insecta; Diptera; Culicidae
Exons: 2
Source: RefSeq, a predicted model, not a curated record